Long non-coding RNA from Armigeres subalbatus, 438 nucleotides. RefSeq lists it as uncharacterized. Lineage: Eukaryota; Metazoa; Arthropoda; Insecta; Diptera; Culicidae. The transcript has 3 exons. The record is from RefSeq and is a predicted model, not a curated record.
UUCACGGUAAAUACUUAUUUUUAUUUUGCAGUCGCGCGAGUUUGUGGAACUUAAAUAAGCCCUUAGAUUUUUUCCGGAUGAAAGGCUAACCGGAUUCCAAUGGUGGAAGGAAAGCUGAUACCCGAUAAUCGGAUACUAGAGCAGAAUCGAUACCGGCAAAGGAAUAAUUUACCUUCAGGCGGUUUACCAAAAGAGGAAAACAUCCGCCUUCAGAACUAAACGGAUAUUGAGAAUAUGGUUGCACUCCUCCUGGUUGCAAUUCAUACAAAUUUGAAAUUAAAUUUUAGUGUGCAAGACAAUCAACAUCAGGUCCACAAAUGGCGGCGAAACAGCCUAUUUGGAACCGGAUGGUUUACCUUCAGACUAUACAAACAUCAGCUAAAUAUACAAGGUUAGAUGAUACAAUAAAGUAAUAGUGGAAUGCAAAUAAAAUAAUUG